This 73-nucleotide transfer RNA is filed under the name Myxococcales bacterium. Its description in RNAcentral is "tRNA-Val". The record is from RNAcentral. Lineage: Bacteria; Pseudomonadati; Myxococcota; Myxococcia; Myxococcales.
GCGGGGCACGCGAUCUGGUGGUCGCGCCUGCCCGACGAGCAGGUCAUGGCGAGUUCGAUCCUCGCGCCCCGCA